GGUAAAGUAGUUUAAUGUUUAAAAUGGUGCUUUUGUAAUGCAUUGUUAGGAUUUCCUUUUUUCCU
Molecule: transfer RNA, 65 nt
Filed under: Sindiplozoon sp. DZ-2018
Lineage: Eukaryota; Metazoa; Platyhelminthes; Monogenea; Mazocraeidea; Diplozoidae
Description: tRNA-Thr
Rfam family: tRNA
About the family: Transfer RNA (tRNA) molecules are approximately 80 nucleotides in length. Their secondary structure includes four short double-helical elements and three loops (D, anti-codon, and T loops).
Source: RNAcentral